AUUAUUGUUUGCAUUAUCAUUGACGACUGUGAGAAUCUGCAGAAAAAAACAGUAUGGAACUACAACUUCACGUUCUUGAGAAAAGCUUGCAGUGUAAGAUGCGUUUGUUUGUGGUGCCUGAGGAAGAGAGAAUACUGGAAGAACAUUAAAAGUCAGAGAGAUGUGCUCCUGUUCAUCUGGAAGAAAGCAAAGAAUCAUGCUCUGAACUCCUUUUGGGGGCAUGUGGCCAGGAACUGAGCGUGACCUCUAGAAGUUGAAUGUGGUCUCUAUUCAGAAGUCAGUAAGAAUAUGGAUGCCUUAGUCAUACAACUUCAGGGAAAUGAAUUUUGUCAACAAUUAAUGAGUUUGGGUAGUACGCUGAGGCUCCAAUAUGAAUUGGGAGCCCAGAUGAUUUUUAGCCGGGGGUCCUGAGCACUUUGUUACCUUGUACCAUAACUCCCGUACCAUGGAAACUGUGAAAUAAAUUUCUGUCAUUUUAAACCACUAA
Molecule: long non-coding RNA, 487 nt
Organism: Homo sapiens (human)
Lineage: Eukaryota; Metazoa; Chordata; Mammalia; Primates; Hominidae
Exons: 2
Source: RefSeq, a predicted model, not a curated record